UACGUAGGGGGCUAGCGUUGUCCGGAAUCAUUGGGCGUAAAGCGCGUGUAGGCGGUCCGGUAAGUCCGCUGUGAAAGUCGGGGGCUCAACCCUCGAAUGCCGGUGGAUACUGUCGGGCUAGAGUGCGGAAGAGGCGAGUGGAAUUCCUGGUGUAGCGGUGGAAUGCGCAGAUAUCAGGAGGAACACCGAUGGCGAAGGCAGCUCGCUGGGACGGUACUGACGCUGAGGCGCGAAAGCGUGGGGAGCGAACAGG
This 253-nucleotide ribosomal RNA is filed under the name uncultured bacterium. RNAcentral describes it as "partial 16S ribosomal RNA". It matches the Rfam family "Bacterial small subunit ribosomal RNA", at positions 524 to 776 of the family's 1533-position model. The record is from RNAcentral.